This 440-nucleotide long non-coding RNA is filed under the name Homo sapiens (human). RNAcentral describes it as "HSALNT0386967". Lineage: Eukaryota; Metazoa; Chordata; Mammalia; Primates; Hominidae. The record is from RNAcentral.
AUUUUGUAAGUAAUGACCCUUUUCAGUCCCUGAGUACUGCCUGCCCACUUUGCUGGAUGAAGCUCUGUGAACUCUUCCUGGUUCUUAGUACUGCCUAAUUCAUGAAUCCUUCUUUGCUCAAAUGAACUCAAAGUUAAUUUAAAGUUUUUAUUCUAACAUGAGACUCUUUCUCCCAUGAGACUUUGCAUGAGGGAGAACAGUCGCUAAUUAACAGCCAGUUCUUGAAAUCACGCAGUCCUGAAAUCCAGCUGAUGCUGCUCAGCAGAGAAGCAGAUGUUUGGAGGUUAAAACAAAGUCACAAGUCUGACCCACACUCAAAGGGAGAAGAUUAUGCAAGAGCAAAAGCACGAGAUGGAAACCAUGGGGCCAUCUUAUAGUCUGUCUGCCGGAGAAAGAUGAACACAAAUCCUCGUGCAGAAAAGUGUGACACUAAAAGAACC